Mirounga angustirostris (Northern elephant seal) is the source of this 1347-nucleotide long non-coding RNA. RefSeq lists it as uncharacterized. The record is from RefSeq and is a predicted model, not a curated record. The transcript has 4 exons. Lineage: Eukaryota; Metazoa; Chordata; Mammalia; Carnivora; Phocidae.
GCCGCUGGAGGAACACUUCUCCCGGGCCCCGCAGUCACCCAGCCGCAGACGUGAGCGGCUGCGCCCAACAGCCCGCUAACGGAGGGAACAAAGGCGGGAGCGGCGUCCCCGGGAGACCGAGGGGCGCGGCGGUGUCCGCGCUCCAGAGCCGCGCUUCGCAAACUUCCGCCGACGUGACGGUCUCCCGCGGGCCUGCGGAGCGCCGGGGGCGCGCCGCCGAGACUCGGAUGCCGGUAUGACUUGAGCUCAAUGAAAUACUGUGUGCAUGCAAUGUGAAGUGGAAAGUGAGGCCCAGCUUUGCAGUGGUCCUACAGUGUCUGUCCGCUCCUUCUUACUACGAGAACGCCGGUUAGAUGGCUGCCCACAACACAGAUGGCUGGAACAUAGGCAUGGUGGCUGAACCAUCAGCAGCCUCCUUGGACCAUGAGGUAGACACCAUGUGUGGGUCCUGGUGGAACGAGGACCCUUUCUCCCAUGAUUGCUUCUUGAAUCCCCCGGGACUCCGAGGGCCAUCACAGGUUUUGCUGACUCUACGUUCCUGCUACCAUUGAUUGAUUCUUUCCUCACGUGACAAGUGUUUUACAUUUAUUAUUUAAUACAUCAACCCCACAGGAAGGCAGUAUCAUUCCCAUUUUCAAAUUAAGGCCCAGAGAAGUUGAUUAACUUUCUCUCAGUAACGCAGCUAAUAGAUGGGCUCUGAACUUCGUUGGUAAAGGCUGCCAUCAUAGUCUGGUCGUAUGGCAGAAGCAGCCCUUUCAGCCUCAAUUACCGAAACGUGUGAAGUUCUGCUGAGGAAUACUUUUAUCCUUCCAUUCGGAAGGGUCACGGGACACUGGGGACUUGGGACUAUUCUGAAAGAGAGCCUUCUCUGAAACCACGAUGACAACAAAAAGGUCGGACAGGCACGGUCACUCCAGGCCAUACUUCUAGUACGUUCACCAGCGGUUCCCACGGCCUGUGUGAUAAGCUGGCAGCACAGGGAUGUCCGUGCGGGAGGGGCAGGGGGUUCCCACAGCGCAGGAGGCCGACAGGGACUACUGUCGGGCUGGCUGCCUGUUUCUAAUGAACUAUGUCUUGUGACUCUGCUGACGCAAUAGCCGAUAGCAAUAUUUAAAAAUUACCUCGUAGAAAUUUCUUGCUCACCUUAGUAUCAUGCAUAUAUUUACUGGCAAAGAAAAAAAUUCCCUAGAAAUGCUUAUUUAACCUUGCCAGUUCUGAUGAAGAUACAUUAUAGUGAAUCAUGGGAAAUUCUUUUAUGAUCUCAUGUUCUACAUAAAAAUAGCUCCGCCUCAGUACUGAUCCAGUUCCUAUGGGCCAGAUCCCAAUUCUUUCUGCUUUCAAAAAAGU